This 1465-nucleotide ribosomal RNA is filed under the name uncultured bacterium. RNAcentral's name for it is "bacterial SSU rRNA". It matches the Rfam family "Bacterial small subunit ribosomal RNA". The record is from RNAcentral.
UUGAACGCUGGCGGCAGGCCUAACACAUGCAAGUCGAGCGGAAACGAGAGGAGCUUGCUCCUUGGCGUCGAGCGGCGGACGGGUGAGUAAAGCCUAGGAAAUUGCCCUGGAGUGGGGGAUAACCAUUGGAAACGAUGGCUAAUACCGCAUAUUACCUGAGGGUUAAAGAGGGGGACCUUUUGGCCUCUUGCUUUGGGAUAUGCCUAGGUGGGAUUAGCUAGUUGGUGAGGUAAUGGCUCACCAAGGCGACGAUCUCUAGCUGGUCUGAGAGGAUGACCAGCCACACUGGAACUGAGACACGGUCCAGACUCCUACGGGAGGCAGCAGUGGGGAAUAUUGCACAAUGGGGGGAACCCUGAUGCAGCCAUGCCGCGUGUGUGAAGAAGGCCUUCGGGUUGUAAAGCACUUUCAGUGGUGAGGAAGGGUGUAUAUUUAAUAGAUGUAUGCUUUGACGUUAGCCACAGAAGAAGCACCGGCUAACUCCGUGCCAGCAGCCGCGGUAAUACGGAGGGUGCGAGCGUUAAUCGGAAUUACUGGGCGUAAAGCGCAUGCAGGUGGAUGAUUAAGUCAGAUGUGAAAGCCCGGGGCUUAACCUCGGAAUAGCAUUUGAAACUGAUUAUCUAGAGUACUGUAGAGGGGGGUAGAAUUUCAGGUGUAGCGGUGAAAUGCGUAGAGAUCUGAAGGAAUACCGGUGGCGAAGGCGGCCCCCUGGACAGAUACUGACACUCAGAUGCGAAAGCGUGGGUAGCAAACAGGAUUAGAUACCCUGGUAGUCCACGCUGUAAACGAUGUCUACUUGGAGGUUGUUCCCUUGAGGAGUGGCUUUCGUAGCUAACGCGUUAAGUAGACCGCCUGGGGAGUACGGUCGCAAGAUUAAAACUCAAAUGAAUUGACGGGGGCCCGCACAAGCGGUGGAGCAUGUGGUUUAAUUCGAUGCAACGCGAAGAACCUUACCUACUCUUGACAUCCAUAGAAUCCUGUAGAGAUACGGGAGUGCCUUCGGGAAUUAUGAGACAGGUGCUGCAUGGCUGUCGUCAGCUCGUGUUGUGAAAUGUUGGGUUAAGUCCCGCAACGAGCGCAACCCUUAUCCUUGAUUGCCAGCGAGUUAUGUCGGGAACUUCAGGGAGACUGCCGGUGAUAAACCGGGGGAAGGUGGGGACGACGUCAAGUCAUCAUGGCCCUUACGAGUAGGGCUACACACGUGCUACAAUGGCGUAUACAGAGGGAGGCGAGCUAGCGAUAGUAAGCGGAACCCAAAAAGUGCGUCGUAGUCCGGAUCGGAGUCUGCAACUCGACUCCGUGAAGUCGGAAUCGCUAGUAAUCGUGGAUCAGAAUGCCACGGUGAAUACGUUCCCGGGCCUUGUACACACCGCCCGUCACACCAUGGGAGUGGGCUGCAAAAGAAGUGGGUAGUUUAACCUUUCGGGGAUGACGCUCACCACUUUGUGGUUCAUGACUGGGGUGA